This is a long non-coding RNA of Labeo rohita (rohu), 451 nucleotides long. RefSeq lists it as uncharacterized. NCBI's taxonomy places the organism in Eukaryota, Metazoa, Chordata, Actinopteri, Cypriniformes, Cyprinidae. The record is from RefSeq and is a predicted model, not a curated record. The transcript has 3 exons.
UAUUGUAGCUGGAACAUCGGCGUGUUUGCGGCUUCGCGGUGGUGGGCAGGUUGUCACGAUCCCUCGGUAGGUUAAGUUGGUUAACCGUUUGCGUGGCAUUCACGCUUGUUAUAACUUGCACGGUUUCUUUAUUCCAGCUGGGUUGAUUCCACUCAUCCUCCGGUAAAAUUGCUGAGAUUUGUGCUGUGAGCAACUGUAUGAUUUGUGUGUUUUGGUGACCGAUAUUUGCCGGUGGUUGUGGCAGUAGCUAUCCCGAUUACUUGACCGCUUAUUUGUUGGGUGGUGUGCGUUGAUCUGCCCUUCAGUCUUUGAACUACCGGCUGGGUGCCCCUGAGUCAGGCGGCUAGCUGCUGUAGUAUCCUGGGUGGUGGUAUUUGGAGCACAGAGUGUGGAUUGCCGUUUGUAGUCAUUCACUUCACUGUGUGUAUGUGAGUGUGCGUGUGGUUUACAA